RNAcentral lists this non-coding RNA (30 nucleotides) under Homo sapiens (human). The record is from RNAcentral. Lineage: Eukaryota; Metazoa; Chordata; Mammalia; Primates; Hominidae.
UCUUCUGGAAGGAGAGCUCGCUGUCCAGUA